Molecule: ribosomal RNA, 604 nt
Filed under: uncultured fungus
Lineage: Eukaryota; Fungi
Description: SSU rRNA
Rfam family: Eukaryotic small subunit ribosomal RNA
Source: RNAcentral
GGGGAACCAGGACUUUUACUUUGAAAAAAUUAGAGUGCUCCAGGCAGGCCUAUGCUCGAAUACAUUAGCAUGGAAUAAUAGAAUAGGACGUGUGGUUCUAUUUUGUUGGUUUCUAGGACCGCCGUAAUGAUUAAUAGGGACAGUCGGGGGCAUCAGUAUUCAAUUGUCAGAGGUGAAAUUCUUGGAUCUAUUGAAGACUAACUACUGCGAAAGCAUUUGCCAAGGAUGUUUUCAUUGAUAAGGAACGAAAGUUAGGGGAUCGAAGACGAUCAGAUACCGUCGUAGUCUUAACUAUAAACUAUGCCGACUAGGGAUCGGACGAUGUUAUCUUUUGACGCGUUCGGCACCUUUCGAGAAAUCAAAGUGCUUGGGCUCCAGGGGGAGUAUGGUCGCAAGGCUGAAACUUAAAGAAAUUGACGGAAGGGCACCACCAGGGGUGGAACCUGCGGCUUAAUUUGACACAACACGGGGAAACUCACCAGGUCCAGACACAAUGAGGAUUGACAGAUUGAGAGCUCUUUCUUGAUUUUGUGGGUGGUGGUGCAUGGCCGUUCUUAGUUGGUGGAGUGAUUUGUCUGCUUAAUUGCGAUAACGAACGAGACCU